This 440-nucleotide ribosomal RNA is filed under the name uncultured bacterium. RNAcentral's name for it is "partial 16S ribosomal RNA". It matches the Rfam family "Bacterial small subunit ribosomal RNA", at positions 338 to 795 of the family's 1533-position model. The record is from RNAcentral.
CCUACGGGCGGCAGCAGUGGGGAAUAUUGCACAAUGGGGGAAACCCUGAUGCAGCGACGCCGCGUGAGUGAAGAAGUAUUUCGGUACGUAAAGCUCUAUCAGCAGGGAAGAAAAUGACGGUACCUGACUAAGAAGCCCCGGCUAACUACGUGGCAGCAGCCGCGGUAAUACGUAGGGGGCAAGCGUUAUCCGGAUUUACUGGGUGUAAAGGGAGCGUAGGCGGCAGCGCAAGUCUGGAGUGAAAUCCCAUGGCUUAACCAUGGAACUGCUUUGGAAACUGUGCAGCUAGAGUGCAGGAGAGGUAAGCGGAAUUCCUAGUGUAGCGGUGAAAUGCGUAGAUAUUAGGAGGAACACCAGUGGCGAAGGCGGCUUACUGGACUGUAACUGACGUUGAGGCUCGAAAGCGUGGGGAGCAAACAGGAUUAGAUACCCGAGUAGUC